Long non-coding RNA from Vollenhovia emeryi, 1058 nucleotides. RefSeq lists it as uncharacterized. The transcript is spliced from 3 exons. The record is from RefSeq and is a predicted model, not a curated record. Lineage: Eukaryota; Metazoa; Arthropoda; Insecta; Hymenoptera; Formicidae.
GUGGAAAUAACAUGGAAUCUACGCUGGUCAGACCGCGUCCAGAAUAUAGGAGAGUUUUGGGCAUUUGUCUACAAAUUGUGCGCCCAAUGAAUUACACUAAUUAUAAAAUAUACCUUUAAAACCACGACGGAUUCUGUUUCAUAACGCCACCGUCAAAUCCGGUAUCAAUUACGAAUGACUUUCAAUCGGGCGUAUAUCGUUCGACCAACAUCAAUAUUACAGGCAUUAAUGUCGACAUUCAUCAUAAGAGUACACAAACAGUGUCGGAACGGGAUGAAGAAAACACGCAUCCCGCCCAAGGAGUUGCGGCUCGCUCACAAAAGCGCAGAGCAUUCAUCUUCUGUCGUGUAUGUCAUGAACCGCGACACGAUGGCCGCUCUUUCCUUUCUCUCUUCUCUCUCUUCUUUGCAAUCAUAUCUUUGCAAAGAUAAAAAUGAAUUUACACGACGUUCUUAUUGUAAAAAUUAAUUUCUUGCAGUUUGCUUUGCGCAUUGAUCCUCCAACAAUUGUUUCAAUUUACUUACUGAUAAUUAUCUCUGUUAUUUCAAAGUGUCAAUACAAUACAACACAAAAAAGCCGUUAAAAUUGCACUAGAUUAUAUUGUAUAAUCCGGAUACCAUAUCUCAUUACAAUUUUGCAUUCUUUGUUUUAAACGGUUUAUUUUAGGAAUUUUGUGGUGAGAACAUUAUGUUCAGAUCUAACGGCGACGAUACAACGGAAGUGGGAGGCAAGUGCAAACAGACCCACGCCUCGUUGUUUGGUAUUUGCAUCACUUGCGGAAACCAGACUGCGUCGAUCGCGCGCUGUCGAAUAAAUGAAUUUAGAUCCGUAUGCUUGCCGAGUGCAGUUUCCAUUGCUAGGUCAGACCUGAAUUCGCUUAGCAACGCGCGCGCAGUUCAUAUUUCGGCCAGCGCCGUCGUUGCGAAUAACAAACAAUCGUUUGGCAUCAAUUCUCGUCCUAUUUUCUACACUUUUAGCCACUACGCAUUAGGUAUUAACAAGUUUCCAUUAAGCGUUUUGCAUAUUAUAUAUUUCUAUUACAAUUUCAUUUAUCUGUU